Molecule: long non-coding RNA, 1111 nt
Organism: Lates calcarifer (barramundi perch)
Lineage: Eukaryota; Metazoa; Chordata; Actinopteri; Centropomidae
Exons: 2
Source: RefSeq, a predicted model, not a curated record
CUGGACAGGGAGGGAAUGGCAGAGCCAUGAUGACAACAGUGGAUACAUUAAAUAAGAGAAUCUGCCAAGGCUUCAGUAAAUGUAGACAAAUUAGAAGGGUGCAAGGUGGGUCAAGGAGUCCUUUCAGACUGGAUACAUUACAGUGGUGGGUGGAUCCGUGUCUCUCUGUGACCCGAUGAACUGUGUUAUCUGGAGCACUCAAGCUCAUCGUGGGGUCUCCAUCGGCAAACAGGUCCCGGGUGGAUUUCCGGACAAACACGAAGUAGGAGGAACCAGGACUGAGUCAUGGCUCACGACCUGCAGGGAGAAGAACAGCAGCGUUAGGAUCGACCGCACCCCUUCCCCCCCUCCCACGUCUCCAGAAUCUGGGUCUGGAUACGUCGUCUGUCUGGGGAAUAAGGGAGCUUUGCAGGAAAGUCCAGUGUUGCCAACUAGACGUGGUUGAGCUCGUUUCUACACACGGUGUGCUGAGCUGGAACCGAGCUGCCUGGAAAGGGACUGAGCUGAGGGUUAAAGGAUUAUUGUUAGAGGAGCUGGGUAGAUGUGAGGAUACUCAUGCGCUGGAAACUGUGUUAUGAAGUUUAUCUAGAAUUUUAAAUGCAAACUAAUACUAAUCUUUACAGUGUACUGUUUUUACAGUUAGUACACAACAAAACAGAAAAUGGUGAAAUACUUUCUGUCAAAUGUCAAUCAAGCUGCGACUUCAGAAUGCCACUGCUAAUUAACUAAAAAAAAGAGAGAGUGAGAAAGAGGAAUCAAAGUUGUUUGGUUUUUGAAGUGUUAGAGCUGUUUCACCACCAUCCAAUUCAUUUUUUCUUUUAACAGAACAUACUUUAUUUUGUCACUUCACCACACUGCCUAUUCAAAACCUGUUUAGAAUUAUAACGAAAUUACAGCUACUGACAUGAUUCAGUUUUCAGGAAAAGCACAGGUGUUACUGAUGAUGAUGACUCUGUUCUAUUCAAGCAUCCCAGUAAACUGUGACAGUGAUUAAUUUCAUUAUUUACACCUGUGCUUUUUCUACUACAACACAUCACAGUGUCUUCUAUGAAAAAGAGAAGUUGUUUGUCCUUUUUUGUUUAAACUUUUGUUCAUAAACCCUGCACACACA